CUCGGGGCUGGGGGGACCUCAGCCCAGAUUGUGAGAGUGCUCAGACCAGGCUGUGGGACCCCACUGGUGCACG
RNAcentral lists this microRNA precursor (73 nucleotides) under Myotis davidii. RNAcentral's name for it is "mir-9193 microRNA precursor family". It matches the Rfam family "mir-9193 microRNA precursor family". The record is from Rfam by way of RNAcentral. Lineage: Eukaryota; Metazoa; Chordata; Mammalia; Chiroptera; Vespertilionidae.